CGGCGAGUGAAGCGGCAACAGCUCAAAUUUGAAAUCUGGUCCCCAGGGCCCGAGUUGUAAUUUGCAGAGGAUGCUUUUGGCGAGGCGCCUUCCGAGUUCCCUGGAACGGGACGCCAUAGAGGGUGAGAGCCCCGUCUGGUUGGAUGCCGAGCCUCUGUAAAGCUCCUUCGACGAGUCGAGUAGUUUGGGAAUGCUGCUCUAAAUGGGAGGUAUAUGUCUUCUAAAGCUAAAUACCGGCCAGAGACCGAUAGCGCACAAGUAGAGUGAUCGAAAGAUGAAAAGCACUUUGAAAAGAGGGUUAAAUAGUACGUGAAAUUGUUGAAAGGGAAGCGCUUAUGACCAGACUUGGGCCCGGUGAAUCAUCCAGCGUUCUCGCUGGUGCACUUCGCCGGGCUCAGGCCAGCAUCAGUUUGUCCCGGGGGAUAAAGGCUCUGGGAAUGUGGCUCCUCCGGGAGUGUUAUAGCCCGCUGCGCAAUACCCUGGGGCGGACUGAGGUUCGCGCAUCUGCAAGGAUGCUGGCGUAAUGGUCAUCAGCGACCCGUCUUGAAACACGGACCAAGGAGUCGUCUUCGUAUGCGAGUGUUCGGGUGUAAAACCCCUACGCGUAAUGAAAGUGAACGCAGGUGAGAGCUUCGGCGCAUCAUCGACCGAUCCUGAUGUUCUCGGAUGGAUUUGAGUAAGAGCAUACGGGGCCGGACCCGAAAGAAGGUGAACUAUGCCUGUAUAGGGUGAAGCCAGAGGAAACUCUGGUGGAGGCUCGCAGCGGUUCUGACGUGCAAAUCGAUCGUCAAAUAUGGGC
Molecule: ribosomal RNA, 799 nt
Filed under: Cordyceps fratricida
Lineage: Eukaryota; Fungi; Ascomycota; Sordariomycetes; Hypocreales; Cordycipitaceae
Description: eukaryotic LSU rRNA
Rfam family: Eukaryotic large subunit ribosomal RNA
Source: RNAcentral